Molecule: unclassified non-coding RNA, 2427 nt
Filed under: Leishmania donovani
Lineage: Eukaryota; Euglenozoa; Kinetoplastea; Trypanosomatida; Trypanosomatidae
Description: gene:LdHU3.29.3010(CDS-product:hypothetical_prote in_conserved)
Source: RNAcentral
CCCACAGGACACCAGCAAAGCCGCCCAUAAGGCCUGCGCACAGCGGCACACAUGCCUGCACACAUAGCGACUUUAAGGCCGCAUCGUCUAAAAGCUCGGCGUUCCCAAUGAGCGAGGCACCUUUUGAAACGACACCACCUUUCACGAACUGGGGGAUCGUGCUUGACGGCGAUGUGCAACAAGAUACCGUCAGCAGCGGCGUCUACUGCACAACACAGCAGUUGCGCUUUCGGCGAACUCCACGACUGUCUGACCACGCCGGAUCCGGCGCGUCUACCGCCGCAGCAGUGACCAUCCGUCAGGCAAACAGCAGCAACAGCGGCCACCCCUAUCAUGGUAGUGUCGCAGUUCUCGACGACUGGGAGCGCUCUGCGGUGGACCUGUACAGGGAGAUUCGCCGCCACCGAAGCGAAGGACCGCAACAGCCGCGCAACGGCGCCAAGCUGUGUGACAGCACACAGGAGGGGCGCCGUCUUGAUACCUCGGAGUGCUCCUCGCCGUCUCCGUACGCUGCGUUGAUGGGGACGGCAUUUCCACAGCUGCUUGGAGGGCCGUUUGCGCCUCCAGGCCAGGCGCCCGCAAGCCUGGCAGGUGACAGCACGGCAGGCACACCCCAGCUGCCUUCAUCCUCUCCAUUGCUGCUGCAGUAUUUUCUCUCCAUUGGGUAUCCGCUGCGCCUCCCUUACAAUACGGAAGCGGCCGCCGCUUCGCAUUCCGCCGCUCUUGUCGCCGUCGCACAGGAGACAGUCGCGUGGUUCGAGGACAGCGGCGUGGCGGUGGAGAGCACGGCACCGAGUAGAAUUGCCGUGCCGUUGCACCGCUUCAGCGUCCGCCUCUUCCCCGAUGUCGUGCAGCAGAUGAUCUCAGCGCACCGGAUGACGCCGGCGACCGCGGCGGCGUGGCUGCUGCGCGUAUAUGUCGGCCUUCUGGCGCCGUGGGAGGCAAAGGAGUACAGCAUCCAGGGUGCAAUAACGGCGGUCCACGGCUGUGAGAACGACCCACUCGAUCCCGGAAUGCCGCCCGCGUUCUGCAUGGAAGGUGUCUGGCGCUGGGCCAACGCCAUGUGCACGGCGGUGUACCAUCUACAGACUAGCGCCCGUGCUGCGAGAGAGACGAGCCUCCACGAAAGUGAGAAGCGGUCAUCCGAUGCCCUGAGCAGCAGCGGGAAUGAGAAAGCCGCGCCCCCGCAAGGAAUGCAGUCGCUUGCAAGCGAGCGUCGCACCGACGACGUUGGAUGGAGGCUCUUCGCCCUCACCGUUCUUCAGAAAACCACCACGCUUAUUCUGCGGGGCUGCUUCACCACGGCAAGGGUCGACGCAGGCAAUGCAUCACAAGACCCCACCAGCGCCGAAUCACUGGAGGAGCGGGACGCUCGAGGUGGACUGAAACAAGACGCCGUGGGCGCGCAGUCAUGGUCGCCACGGACAUCAGAGACCGUAAUGCCACCGGUGCCCACCACCCGCGUUGUUGUGGAAGGACUGGCGUGUUUCGCGCUCCUUGUGCGACUUCACGAGCGAUUCCCCAAACAAGGGGAGAUGCUGCAUGAUGCCGGAGGUGCGCAUGCUCGCCCCGCUGCCGCCCACCUCGCGGACGCAGCGCAGGCUAUGGUUGAGAAGCACUGGGAGGGGCACGCACAGCUGGCGGUGCAGCAGUUGCCACACCUCCCUACACACUACCAUCAUCUUGUGCACAUGAUGGACUUUGUGCUCACCCACUGAGGAUAGAUCUGAGCCGGCGCGCAAGACAGGGGAAGGGCUUAGCGAGCGGUGCUGUUUUCUUUUUUGCCGGAAGGGAGCGGAGCUACACAUGAUCGUCGACUUUCCUCGUUGUGCCUCUCUUUCCUCGUCUCCCAGCCUCAACGCUGCAUGUUGCGGUCGUCUUUCCUUCUUCCCAGUUUUACAGCCGAGUUUGUACCCCACCGCCACCACCAAUUCCCUCUAACAUCCGCUACUUCGCUUUCUGUUGUUUUUCCUGCUCUUUUCUCUCCCUCAGUCACUCGACACCUCGUCGCAUCGAGUCGUCAUGGAGGCAUCCACGGCGCAGCAGAUGUGCUGCAGCACGCGACACAGAUAAAACAAGCAAUCGCAGGAAAUGUGCAAAGGCAGCGAUGACCGGCUCUUUGUCUCACUCGUGCCGCCCAUCGGCUGCUACCUCACGGCCGCGCCAUAACGUUUUGUGUGCGUUACGCUCUGUACGGGCGCAGCGUUGUGUGUCUCCUGCGCUGAGCAUCGUCCCUCUCCCCUUCUCCGCCCUCGCCUCUGUUAUUCUCUUUGCUUCUCUCCCCUGUCUUUUCAUGCGUUAAUACUCGUACCAUGUUGUGCUGCGUUGGCCCGGUGUGUGCACUGCGCAUGCCGUCGCCCACCUUUCUCUCUCGUUUCCUCUCUUCCCUCCUCGUCCUCACGCUGUUUGCACGGACGUGUGAUUUAG